UAGGUGUCGUAGACUUAAUAGAUAAGCCGGUAAAGCCGGCACGGUCCCGCCACUGUAACGAGGAGCGAAUCUGCAGAGCGAAAGCAAGCCACUGUACAUCGGGAAGGCGCAGGUGAGCGAUGAAUCGGAGUCAGGAGAACUGCCUAGCU
This 149-nucleotide non-coding RNA is filed under the name pig gut metagenome. The record is from RNAcentral.